This 394-nucleotide ribosomal RNA is filed under the name Amorphochlora amoebiformis. RNAcentral describes it as "partial Eukaryotic large subunit ribosomal RNA". It matches the Rfam family "Eukaryotic large subunit ribosomal RNA", at positions 2976 to 3392 of the family's 3401-position model. Lineage: Eukaryota; Cercozoa; Chlorarachniophyceae. The record is from RNAcentral.
AGACAGGUUAGUUUUACCCUACUGUUGUGAGGCUGCGUGAUAGUAAUCGAGUCAAGUACGAGAGGAACGAUUCGAUCGGAUACAUGGUCCUGCACUCGAUGGAGCCGUCGAUGGUGCGAAGCUACAUCCGUAGGUUAAUGACUGAAAGCUUCUAAAGUCAGAAACCUUACUAGAAACCUAGCCAGGCGUGUGCACGUAGGCCUUAACUAUAACCCUCGGUGUGAGUACCGAAGGGGGUGCUUGGCAAGACAAGAUCCGGCCCUAAAUGGGCCGGGGUGUUGACGCGGGGACACAUGCCAGAAGUCCGGUGUAGACGACGCCACACGUGAGGACGGGGUGCUGUAAGCGGAAGAGUGCUUUAGGUGUGAUUCGUUGAGGUUUAGCCCCAGUCCCC